Molecule: unclassified non-coding RNA, 2012 nt
Filed under: Hevea brasiliensis (rubber tree)
Lineage: Eukaryota; Viridiplantae; Streptophyta; Magnoliopsida; Malpighiales; Euphorbiaceae
Source: RNAcentral
AGUCACAGCAAACUUUCUGCAAGGCAGGGUCGUGUUAUGGACCAAUCAGGACCGAUCAGCGACAGUUUCAAAGCACCCAAUAAUAACUGGAGGUAAAUGCUACAUCUUUCAAAUUAGAUACAGCUAAAGAAAAGCUCUUCGAUCACAUAUUCAUUGAUACCAAGAGCUCAGCACAUCAUCUUUCAAACCGAUUGCAAUCAAAUACAACUGCAAUCAUUUCAAUUAAACACAACUAUGGGAUAUGUCUCUACUUCUCUAACCAACUCCGUAAUACUUACAAAAUCUCUUUCUCCCUCUCUGUGUUGUAUUCAUAAGGUGCAGCCAAUCAAAAUGCAUACCAUCUUCAGUGGGGCACAAGGAAUGAUUGAGAGGUGAAGCAUGUGCUUUUAAUGUUGACCAUCACAAAUUUAACUAGCCUUCAUCUCAAUAUCGCCACCAUCCUCCACCACAACGGUAUCAGAGGUAUCCGAGGGAAGAAGCCCUAGGAGUGGCAAAGGCAGCAAUGAAGUGAGAUUGCAAAGAAUAAUCAAAAAGGCUAAGUUGUCAAAGCUGUCCUUUGUAACUCCAAAAAGCUGGGUUAGACCAGCACCGAUCAGCCCUCCAAGAACACUUCCUCCAUUUGAAAUGGACAUGAGAGUCGCAAAAAGUGUUGCUUCCAUCCCUUCUGGACAUAAUUUGGCAGCUAGCACAAGAACGGGCAUAAAAGAAGCCUGAGCAAGAACAGUCAGAAUCAAAGAAUCCCCAAUCGCAAACCACUCAUCGCUUAUGCCAAAUUUACGGUUAAGUCCAGUAACAAGGAAAACCUGAGUCAUCCCAAGAGCUGUACCACUUACGGUGGUAAAAACAAAAAUCUUCCGCAAAGGAACAUUUUUCAGAAAGCCAUUAUAAAGUCCAACCCCAACCAAUGAUGCAAUUGAGGUGACAAGCUUGACACGUCCUAGAAAUUCUGGGGUGAAACCAAGUUUAUUUGUGGUGAAGUAAAACAUAGCAGAGUCUGAUUGCGGUGUUGCCUGCCAGAGAAAAAUAAAUAACGUGGGAAGAAAUACAUUGGGCUGCUUGACUGCAUCCCACAACAGAAUAAUAUGCUGCUUUGAGCUUUCCAGAAAGCCAAGAUCAUUCAAAGCAAGAUUCUGUCCUCUUGCUGGACCAAGAACGCGCUGUUCUUUCACAAGAACAGCAACUGCCGAAGUUAUCAGCGGUAGCAAUGCCGUGACCCCAAAAACAAACCUGACACCAUAAGCAUCCACCAGAGAGCCACUGAAGUAGGAGCUGACAAUUCCACCAAAAGCUGAAGAACCCCAACAUAAAGACUGAAGAGAACCUGACAAGCUUUGUGACUCACCGCGGGCCCUCUCGACCACCAUGGAAUCCACAACAACAUCUGAGAAGGCAACAGAAAGCGAUCCAAGAAGUAUGCAGAAAGCAGCACUGUACUUGCUAUCAACCAAGGUAGCCAUUAAGCUCCACGAAAGAGCACCAAGAAGUCCUGAAAGAACCAAGUAUGACCUUCUUCGAUAACCAAAAAGUGGGACAGAAUCACUAAUAAACCCAUAAAGAGGUUUGACAAGCCAUGGUAAUGCAGAAAAACCAGAUAUCACAGCUGUCUCGGCAGGAUCUAGAUGCAAAUCAUCUUUUAAGUAGAAACUGACAGCAAGUCUAGAAAGGCCUAAAACACCUUGAACAAAAUACACCAUUGCAACAGCAAUAUUAUCCGGCGACAAUUCCACACCAAAGCAUUUGAUUCUGCUACUAAGACGUCUGUUUUUACGGACUGCAUUUUUACUACCAGAGCUUGUCCCUUCUUCCACAUCUGUUGUUAGCAUUUCACCUUUACGUCCACUAUCUACGGUAAUCAAAAGCGACUCUUCGCUUCGGUCCCGACGGUAAGACGGCAUCGUCAUGGACACGUCUUUUUCCGCCUGUUUCAGUCGUGACCUCCGGCGAGUUCUGCAGAGAGCGAUGAGAGAGAGGCGUUUCCGGUGUAUCUGAGAGAAAGGAGAAGACGGGAAACG